RNAcentral lists this long non-coding RNA (1414 nucleotides) under Equus caballus (horse). RNAcentral's name for it is "lncRNA (ENSECAG00000050327.1)". Lineage: Eukaryota; Metazoa; Chordata; Mammalia; Perissodactyla; Equidae. The record is from RNAcentral.
CUUCUAUGGAGGAGAAAAGAUAAUUUUUUUUUGGUAGGAUUGCAAAUGGUAGAAACCACACAACCUGGCAGGAAGGAACUCAGUUCUAGUCCCACCUCUGCUUCUUACUAGCUGCAUAACCUUGGGCAAGUCAUUUCACAUCCCUGGCAUUUGUUUCCUUCAUCUAUAAGACAAGGCGGUUGGACUAGAUGAGCUCUGAAGUCCUUUUCAGGGCUAGUAUUCUAGGAAUCUGUAUGGGAAGUACUACUCGGGCCUGUAACCAACUAUUUAAAAUACAUACACACACAUCUCUGGAAUCUGUUUAGUGGUCAAAUGUCCUAAUUUGGGUGAAGGCUCAAUUUCCCUAUCUGUAAGGUGGGGAUAAAUAGAAACUACUUCGCAGAGUUGUUGAUAAAUGUAAAUUAGAUAAUACACAGAAAGUGCUUAGCCUGGUACCUGAUCUAUAGUGAAUGUUCAAAUAUGGUAGCUAUUGUCGUCGUUACUAUUAUUAUUAUGUGAUUGUCUAUCUGUAUAUCCCCAUUUGAUCAUAUCACUAGUGGGAAAAUAUGCAUUGAAUUCUUACUGAACAUCUAGAGUGUGCCCAGCAUCCUGGUGGCACUGGGAUACUGCAAUAUAUAAAACUUACCCUGUUCUUGUUUGGCAGGCAUUUUGUAUCUCAUCGAUAAAAAAAUCUGAAACAUUUAAAUAGCAGUAAGAGGCAGUAUAUACUCAAUGAGUAGGAUCAGUAAUGUAGAAGCUCAGAGAAGUGUUGAAGAAUUUGGAGAGGGUUUCAAGGAACAAGUGAGACUUGAAGGACAAGCAGACUAGUAGAGAGUAUAGAGCGGCUGUUUCAGCAUUGAGCAACAGUCAGAUAUUAUCUCCACUUCCUCCAGGCUUCUGCUGAAGGCAAAAUUUUCAAAUGUGUGAACAGUCCCAGACUCCUGAAGGCAGAUCCAAAGGGGUUUGUUCACAGCCCACAGCUCACAGUCAAGCUUUGUGAGCACACUUAGGAGCUGGUAGUGGUGGUGGUGGGGAUGGUGAGAGUGGGAAGGGGUGUCACAAUCCCUUUUAUUACCCUCCCUGGGGCAGAAAUCAUGGACCUGUCAUUACAUCAAAUUAUAACUCUCUUGCCUCAUUUGGGAUGCUGAUAGAAGCAUAAAGAUCAUGCCAGCCUGAUUUCUAAAUAAAGAGGCUUAAAAGAGAUUCUGUCAUCGUUAUAUUUUCUUCAUCUUCAGAAGUGUCUCUUCAGGGAAAGGGGCACCCUGAUCUUGGUGUAAUCUACUUAAGAACAAUAGACAGUCACAACCAUCUUAAAUUCUAUCUGCUGUUAAGAGAAAAGGGGAAAAAGUCAUUUUUUGAUGCUGUCAGGGGUUCUCAGGAUUUUCCUCAAGGCUCUGUCACUUUUUGGUUUCCAGUCAGUCAGAGUAGGAGUAAG